RNAcentral lists this ribosomal RNA (389 nucleotides) under uncultured bacterium. RNAcentral describes it as "bacterial SSU rRNA". It matches the Rfam family "Bacterial small subunit ribosomal RNA", at positions 28 to 416 of the family's 1533-position model. The record is from RNAcentral.
GACGAACGCUGGCGGCGUGCUUAACACAUGCAAGUCGAGCGGUAAGGCCCUUUCGGGGGUACACGAGCGGCGAACGGGUGAGUAACACGUGGGUGACCUGCCCUUAGCUCUGGGAUAAGCCUGGGAAACUGGGUCUAAUACCGGAUAUGACUCCAUGACGCAUGUUGGUGGGGUGGAAAGCCUUGUGCGGCUAGGGAUGGGCCCGCGGCCUAUCAGCUUGUUGGUGGGGUGAUGGCCUACCAAGGCGACGACGGGUAGCCGGCCUGAGAGGGCGACCGGCCACACUGGGACUGAGACACGGCCCAGACUCCUACGGGAGGCAGCAGGUGGGGAAUCUUGCGCAAUGGGCGAAAGCCUGACGCAGCGACGCCGCGUGAGGGAUGACGGCC